RNAcentral lists this ribosomal RNA (253 nucleotides) under uncultured bacterium. RNAcentral's name for it is "partial 16S ribosomal RNA". It matches the Rfam family "Bacterial small subunit ribosomal RNA", at positions 524 to 776 of the family's 1533-position model. The record is from RNAcentral.
UACGGGGGGAGCAAGCGUUGUUCGGAAUUACUGGGCGUAAAGGGCUCGUAGGCGGCCAACUAAGUCAGACGUGAAAUCCCUCGGCUUAACCGGGGAACUGCGUCUGAUACUGGAUGGCUUGAGUUCGGGAGAGGGAUGCGGAAUUCCAGGUGUAGCGGUGAAAUGCGUAGAGAUCCGGAGGAACACCAGUGGCGAAAGCGGCCACCUGGACUGCACCUGACGCUGAAACGCGAAAGCUAGGGGAGCGAACGGG